AGAAAUCCAAAUGUAGCACGUAAACUAAAGAAAUAAUAACAAUAUGUUAUACGAAAAGCGGUCAUCACAAUCAGAAUAGAAUAGCAAAACCAAUGCUAACGAUUUCAACAUUUAGACUUUGUUUCGAGAGAGGAAAACGCAAACAGCUACACAAUCACAAACGAAAAUGUUUACAAUAUUACAUCAAUAUCCAAUGACGUCCAUAAUAAAAUCGUGUUGAAUGUACGAAUUGCUUAGAUCCGAUUCAAAGGCAACAAGAACAACAAGCAGCAGUACACACACCAAAUUAAUUACAUAAUUACAACAACAUUUCGGCAACAAAAUCCAAGACUCAUCGUGAGUGUAAACGCACAACAAAAUAUCAGAUAUACAAACACAACACAAGGAAAUUUAAGAUUUGUACCGUUACCAACUAAGUUGAUGUUGUUGCUUAUGCUGGAGUCGUGAAUGGUGAAGUUGAGUUCGUGGGGGAUGGGUACGCAUGGUGGACGAAAGUGUGUUUGUUAUGGUAGUUAUGGUUGUGUUGUCAAUUUGUUUGGCUGCUUUCGAAAUAGUAUGGUGAGAUGAGGGAAAUGUUGGCUUGCGUUUUGGAUCAGAGUUGAAGGUGAACAGUAGCGUGUUUUUGCUUGCGUGUUGAGGGUCAUAAGAGAUUAAGUUUGAUGGAGGGAAUAGUUCUUGUGAUGUGGAGGUCGAAGUAGGUUGUUUUGCUAGCGUAGUUUGGAGCAAGGUUGUGAGUAGUGAGUGUUGAGUUAUGUCACAUUCCAGGAGGUCAUUUUCGUGAAGAAUAUGUGGUGUUAUGAAGUGUAGAAAGGGUUUUAAUGGAGAGGGAGUAUAAAAUGGAGGGUGGAGGUUAUUGUUGAAUUGUAAUUCCGUGUGUCAAAAUAGGUUGCUCGACAGAAAUAAAGAGGUGUCGAAUCACCUAUGUAUCGAAAUGUAUAGUAUCUCGAAGUGUAUAUCGACAAAGUUGUUAUACUUAGCUAUAUUUGUGUUUUAGCAAAGUUAGUUAGUUUGUUAAGAGAUUUCUUGGAUUGCAAGAAAUCUAAUUCUAUAAAUACUGAGGUAUCAUACUAUUGAUUCUAACAAUUUUAAAGUGAAUAAUUGCAGUAUGCAAAGUUUGAGAACAAAGAGAAAUACUGUAGAAAUUUAUUCUUCUUCUUUCUUACUCGAAAAUCCUAAUCUUUCUUUCCUCCCCAAUUCAAUUUCUUUCUUCUUCCAUUUAAAUUAUGCAGCGAAAUCUUGCAAUCGAUGUUGGUUGUUUCACUCAAGUGAAGAGUGAAUAACAAGAAGGAAUUUGAUCGGUGUGAUUGAAUCUUGUUCAUCAAGAUUGCAACAGAAUUUUCCAUAAAUUUUAGUGAAUUUCUUAAAGGGAAAUUGACGAAUUUCCAACUGAUCGAAUGAAACUGCAAGGCUUGUGGUGGUGGUAUGCAUUUUAUUGAUGAUGUAGUGGAUGGUUGGCACUUUGCUGUAGGUGUUGGUCGUGUGAUGCUUCUAUAAAGAAGCUCACAUCAUUUGUGUUUUCUAUCCUUUCAUUGUGAGAUGGAAGUAUGUAAAGAGAAAGAGAAAAAGGAGUUUAUGUCUCAGCAUGAGGCUGAGUCCUCUUCUUCUUAUUUCUUUGUUUUCCCUUUUUAAAUCUCAUUGGUAGAAAGUGG
Molecule: long non-coding RNA, 1649 nt
Filed under: Lathyrus oleraceus (garden pea)
Lineage: Eukaryota; Viridiplantae; Streptophyta; Magnoliopsida; Fabales; Fabaceae
Description: Pisum sativum (pea) long non-coding RNA (PSAT_LNC036561)
Source: RNAcentral